Molecule: non-coding RNA, 21 nt
Filed under: Caenorhabditis elegans
Lineage: Eukaryota; Metazoa; Nematoda; Chromadorea; Rhabditida; Rhabditidae
Source: RNAcentral
UGCAUUGUUCUUUUUCACGGA